CCGGGCAAAUUAUCCUCAUAAGUUAGAUGACAAGAGGUACCGAUAAAAACUUAUUUAUCUAAGCAAUUUACGGUUGUUAUUAUAUUAUACCUUGUCAGAUUAUAUUCUUCGAGGGUAAAGAUAAUAUAAUACCUUUCCAUAUUUCCUCUUCGGAGGAAAAGUGGUGGGGAUAAUUAGAUAUUAAUUAUAAUAUUCGGUGGCACAGAAUCGGAGGCCCCGACUGUUUACUAAAAACACAUCACAGUGCAAUCAUUAAUAUGGUAGUAUACUGUGUGAAAUUUGCCCGAUGCCAUUAAUAUAAAAAAAGUUAUGGUAUAUUUUUUAUGCUGUGACUGAUUGAAAAUCUGGUUAAUAGCGGUCUUAACUAUGAGGAUCCUAAGGUAGCAAAAUCAGUUGGCCAUUAAAUGUGGUCCGGUAUCAAUAAUGUAACGAUGGUCUCACUGUCUCUACAACUUGCUCAGUGAAAUUGAAUUACGCGUGCAGAUGCGCGUUGCCUUCAGGGGGACGGGAAGACCCUAUGCAGCUUUUACUG
This 532-nucleotide ribosomal RNA is filed under the name Stropharia rugosoannulata. Its description in RNAcentral is "LSU rRNA". It matches the Rfam family "Bacterial large subunit ribosomal RNA", at positions 1713 to 2106 of the family's 2925-position model. The record is from RNAcentral. Lineage: Eukaryota; Fungi; Basidiomycota; Agaricomycetes; Agaricales; Strophariaceae.